AUUUUCUAAUGUAGUUUAAUAUAUAUUAUUGCAGUUAUUAAAUCAAAUAGUGUGUGAGCUACCUCCAGAGCACCCGGUUUCUAGUGUUAGGCCUCUACGGGAUUCACUUGGUCAUACUCCAUUGCAGGUUUUUGCAGGUGCAGUGUUGGGGUGUAUAGUGGCAUAUCUAAUGAGUUCCAGUUAGCAGUGGGUAAUCCAGUGAUUGUUUAUGACCUGACAAGUGUUCAUUCAACAGGCUGUUGAGGUCGUGCGAUUAUUCAACAGGAGACUUCCCUAGUCUCCAAGUCUGCCGUUCUGUCAAUAGGAAAAGAGACUGAGCAAAAAUGUCUGCCAAGUUUGUACUCACAAUUCAACUGUGAAUAGUUAGAAAGAGUGAAACACUGAAACUUCUAACAGUUUGACAAUAUAUAUAAAUAUGCUCAUGUGCUCAAGCA
Argentina anserina (silverweed cinquefoil) is the source of this 434-nucleotide long non-coding RNA. RefSeq lists it as uncharacterized. The transcript has 2 exons. The record is from RefSeq and is a predicted model, not a curated record. NCBI's taxonomy places the organism in Eukaryota, Viridiplantae, Streptophyta, Magnoliopsida, Rosales, Rosaceae.